Pezoporus occidentalis (night parrot) is the source of this 370-nucleotide long non-coding RNA. RefSeq lists it as uncharacterized. NCBI's taxonomy places the organism in Eukaryota, Metazoa, Chordata, Aves, Psittaciformes, Psittacidae. The transcript has 2 exons. The record is from RefSeq and is a predicted model, not a curated record.
CAGCAGAAAAGCUGAAGCCUUGGGACACAAAGAAGACUUCAGCUAGUGCGAGAAACAAGCCCCAAAACACCUUCCACCAAACCAGACAAAAGAUGGAGGAGAAUGACAACCCCCCAAGCCCAUAGGGGCGACAAACUCCGCAGGCAUCUGCUGCGGCUUCUUCUCCCUCACCUCGAUGGAGCCAAGCAGAAAAGUUGUUUUAAACCAUCAUGUGCUGGAGGACCACUGCUGGACCAGCAGAGAGGCAUCACCUGAAUCACAUCCACCAUCGGAACUUGACCACUCACCCUGUGCUUCACUUCAUACAUCCCCUCAGUUCCACAGUUUGGGGUUUUUUGAAUGCUUGGAACAAAACACCAGACACACACAC